UUAGUCUAAAGUAGGAGGGGAAAUCGCACUAUUCAUAUGAACAGUGUUUUGGACCACAUUUCAGUUUAUUUACGAGGCUGCCACUGACUCUCUCUGCCGCUGAUCUUCAUGCCGCGUGUUGAUAAUCGUGGAAAGGCAGGGGUGCGAUGGUCGUUUUAGUCUGUAGGGUUUCGAACAGAUUGGGUGGGUGAGAGACUUUCAUUUCCUUUCUUUCUGAGCUGAGAGAGAGAGAGAGAGAGCGAGCGAGCAGAGGGAGAAGAGAGAAAGGGAGGGAGGGGGAGAGAGAUAGGGAUUGGUGAGAGGAAGGCAUGCGGCUUACAGGCAGACAGAGUCACGGGGGGUGUACAAUUCGAGGGAGAGAAAGAGAGGGGAUUGAGUGGUGAUGCUCGAUUUGGGAAGAGAAAGAGAGAGACAAGGAGAGCGCGAUUUUGGGGUUAUGCGACGGCGGGAGAGAGGGCGAGGGUUGUUGCAUCCGUGUCACUCAAAGUGGGUUGCGAGAGAGUGAGAGUUCUGCCUUCUAGGGUUUGAGAGUUGGUUUCGAGAAAGUGAGGGGGCCUAAGUGGGGGUAAGGCUCGGGCUGGGUUUGUGGAAUGGGGCUGGAUUAGUUACAGACAGAGAAGCGGUGGAGGGUGUGGAAUGUCAGGGAGAGGAAGGGAGAGGGAGUUCUGCCAAAAAACGUGGGUUGCAGAGCUACAACAAGGGAGAUGGGCGUGGAUUGGCAAGGAGCGGAAGGGAGAGGGAGGAGUGAGGCUUGCAAAAAGGGGGUUGGAUUGAUUUUUCCUCCUCAAAUCAAUGGGUGGUGUCGGGAUUGAGGGGUGGGUCGAAAGUGGGCAUGGUUGUGAGGGAGAGAGGGAUGGCAGAGACAGAGGUCAUGGAGUUGGGCGUGGGAAUUCCACAAAUCAGUGGUGUUAAUAUCAGCAAUGAGCAUUACUGGGAUGUAUAUUGUUUAUGGAAGAAGCUCAGUCUCAAACGAUCCCUCGAUCUCUUCUCCCCUGCAUAUGGCGAACUUCCUCCUCCCUCCUCCCGACCCUGAGAG
Pyrus x bretschneideri (Chinese white pear) is the source of this 1036-nucleotide long non-coding RNA. RefSeq lists it as uncharacterized. The record is from RefSeq and is a predicted model, not a curated record. The transcript is spliced from 2 exons. NCBI's taxonomy places the organism in Eukaryota, Viridiplantae, Streptophyta, Magnoliopsida, Rosales, Rosaceae.